UUCUUUCAAUACAGAGAAGGGUUUCUCUCAUUUCUCUCUUUUCUCUCUCUAUUUUCUCUCUCUAUUUUACCUAUUUCCAUGCUUGAUUCAACUCCAAUUCACCAUAUUUACAUGGUAUCAGAGCCUGGAUCUUUCUCCCGGACAUACUCUCUAUCAUCCCCGUUCUUUGGUUGGAGUUCAUGGCGUUAUCGGUGGUGAUUUCUGUUUUUUUCCAAAGUUAUGGGUGAAGAUUCUGGAUUUUUUUGAUAUUUUGGUGAAAUCAGAGUGGUUUUGUUGACGAUUCUUCCAACGAGGUGUUAGGGUGAUUUUCCGACACCUCUUGUGCCUGAUUCCACCGGGUUUUCUGCAAGCUAGGGUUUCCUGAAAACGAAGCUAGG
This 377-nucleotide long non-coding RNA is filed under the name Nicotiana benthamiana. RNAcentral describes it as "long non-coding RNA (NBEN_LNC005969)". Lineage: Eukaryota; Viridiplantae; Streptophyta; Magnoliopsida; Solanales; Solanaceae. The record is from RNAcentral.